AACAGGAUUAGAUACCCUGGUAGUCCAUGCCGUAAACGAUGAGUGCUAGGUGUUGGAGGGUUUCCGCCCUUCAGUGCCGGAGCUAACGCAUUAAGCACUCCGCCUGGGGAGUACGACCGCAAGGUUGAAACUCAAAGGAAUUGACGGGGGCCCGCACAAGCGGUGGAGCAUGUGGUUUAAUUCGAAGCUACGCGAAGAACCUUACCAGGUCUUGACAUCUUGCGCUAACCUAAGAGAUUAGGCGUUCCCUUCGGGGACGCAAUGACAGGUGGUGCAUGGUCGUCGUCAGCUCGUGUCGUGAGAUGUUGGGUUAAGUCCCGCAACGAGCGCAACCCUUGUUACUAGUUGCCAGCAUUCAGUUGGGCACUCUAGUGGGACUGCCGGUGACAAACCGGAGGAAGGUGGGGACGACGUCAGAUCAUCAUGCCCCUUAUGACCUGGGCUACACACGUGCUACAAUGGUCGGUACAACGAGUCGCUAACCCGCGAGGGCAAGCUAAUCUCUUAAAGCCGAUCUCAGUUCGGACUGUAGGCUGCAACUCGCCUACACGAAGUCGGAAUCGCUAGUAAUCGCGGAUCAGCAUGCCGCGGUGAAUACGUUCCCGGGCCUUGUACACACCGCCCGUCACACCAUGGAAGUUUGUAACGCCCAAAGUCGGUGGCCUAACCAUUUGGAGGGAGCCGCCUAAGGCGGGACAGAUGACUGGGGUGAAGUCGUAACAAGGUAACC
RNAcentral lists this ribosomal RNA (730 nucleotides) under uncultured bacterium. Its description in RNAcentral is "bacterial SSU rRNA". It matches the Rfam family "Bacterial small subunit ribosomal RNA", at positions 771 to 1501 of the family's 1533-position model. The record is from RNAcentral.